Molecule: ribosomal RNA, 505 nt
Filed under: uncultured Actinomycetes bacterium
Lineage: Bacteria; Bacillati; Actinomycetota; Actinomycetes
Description: bacterial SSU rRNA
Rfam family: Bacterial small subunit ribosomal RNA
Source: RNAcentral
CCUGAUGCAGCGACGCCGCGUGAGGGAUGACGGCCUUCGGGUUGUAAACCUCUUUCAGCAGGGAAGAAGCGUGAGUGACGGUACCUCCAAAAGAAGGACCGGCCAACUACGUGCCAGCAGCCGCGGUAAUACGUAGGGUCCGAGCGUUAUCCGGAAUCAUUGGGCGUAAAGAGCUCGUAGGCGGUUCAGCAAGUCGGCUGUGAAAGUCCGGGGCUCAACCCCGGAAUUGCAGUCGAUACUGCUGUGACUCGAGUCCGGUAGAGGAGAAUGGAAUUCCCGGUGUAGCGGUGAAAUGCGCAGAUAUCGGGAGGAACACCAGUAGCGAAGGCGGUUCUCUGGCCGGCACUGACGCUGAGGAGCGAAAGCGUGGGGAGCAAACAGGAUUAGAUACCCUGGUAGUCCACGCUGUAAACGUUGGAUACUAGGUGUGGCGGUCUUACCAACGACUGCCGUGCCGAAGCUAACGCAUUAAGUAUCCCGCCUGGGGAGUACGGCCGCAAGGCUA